This is an RNA transcript of Trifolium pratense (red clover), 1437 nucleotides long. It is a transcript of the gene named serine/arginine-rich splicing factor SR30, with no coding region annotated. The record is from RefSeq and is a predicted model, not a curated record. NCBI's taxonomy places the organism in Eukaryota, Viridiplantae, Streptophyta, Magnoliopsida, Fabales, Fabaceae. The transcript has 13 exons.
AUUUUAGUCCGAACCGCAACUUCGAGAAGUGUCCAAACUCUUCUAUCAAAAAAACAAGUGUCGAAACCUGAAACCAUCCAUCCUCACAGAAUCUGUGUUUGCACUUUCGUACUCGAUUUCGCUUCUCCUCUUUCUUUCAAUCGCUUCCAAUCUCAGGAAAAAAUGAGUCGCCGAUCAAGUCGAACAAUAUAUGUUGGCAAUCUUCCUGGUGAUAUUCGUGUGAGAGAAGUAGAGGAUCUUUUCUACAAGUUUGGUCCUAUUGUUGACAUUGAAUUGAAGGUUCCUCCAAGACCACCAGGUUAUGCUUUUGUGGAGUUUGAGGAUGCUCGUGAUGCUGAAGAUGCAAUUCGUUAUCGAGAUGGAUACAAGUUUGAUGGCUUGCGAUUAAGAGUUGAAUUUGCACAUGGUGGACGGGGCUAUUCAUCACCGGUAGACCGUUAUAGUGGUAGCGGCAGUAGCCGUGGAGUGUCGAAGCAUUCUGAGUAUCGUGUUCUGGUCACUGGAUUACCUUCUUCAGCUUCAUGGCAAGACCUGAAAGAUCACAUGCGAAGAGCUGGUGAUGUAUGUUUCUCUCAAGUUUUCCGUGACCGGGGUGGCAUGACUGGGAUAGUGGAUUAUACAAAUUAUGAUGAUAUGAAAUAUGCUAUUAGAAAACUUGAUGACUCAGAAUUCCGAAAUGCGUUCUCUCGGGCAUACAUACGAGUGAGGGAAUAUGAUCGACGGAGCUAUUCUAGGAGUCCUAGUUGUGAUACAAGGAGGAGUUAUUCUAGAAGCCUUAGCCGCAGUCCUAAUAUGUCACGAAGUAGAAGCCGCAGUCGAAGUUAUAGCUAUAGUAGCAGGAGCAGCAGAAGCUUGUCUCCAAAAGUGAAACGCACUCGGCGGUCUUUAUCUCGUUCAAGUUGUCAGCAUAAUAAUACUUCAAAUAUUGAAAGUUGGAGGGGGCAGGAGGGCAUGAAUGAAGUGGUUCGUCAUGUUGGCCACUUACUACAAUGUUCAUUAGAGUUCCACAUGUUUGUUUCCUAGAUGCGACUUUUUGCGGCGAUCUGGGGGCAUGUGGUACUCAAAUUCUCAAUGUUUUGUGGUCUAAGACUGGAAUGCAGUAAAGAGGGACAAGUUGCAAUCUAAAAGCUGGAUCACUGUGAUUAAGAACUAAUGGCACCAGAGAUUGCAAAUCAACGGUGUUACAUUCCAAAACCAAUUUCUACAAAUUCUGUGUUCAAAUUCUUGGGCCAAACUUAUAUUCCUCUUUAGGGUUUAUCUUCCCCUUAAUUUCUUCACAGUAUCACGAAUUGGCAACAAUAGAUUCUUUAGAAGUUGUUGAGUUGAGGCCAGUGUGAUACUGGGUUUACUUGCUUUUCAUUAUUCUGGAUGCUAAACUGAGUCAUUGGUUCAAAUGUUUUGCAGAUCAUUGUCAAGAUCGGAGUCAGCAAAUUCAUC